UGCAUCGGCCGGGAAUCGAAGGGGGCGCCCGCGUGGCAGGCGAGCAUUCUACCACUGAACCAAAAGC
This is a non-coding RNA of Cordylochernes scorpioides, 67 nucleotides long. The record is from the annotation of a GenBank genome assembly. NCBI's taxonomy places the organism in Eukaryota, Metazoa, Arthropoda, Arachnida, Pseudoscorpiones, Chernetidae.